CAACAAGUCGCAGUCUGCC
Molecule: microRNA, 19 nt
Filed under: Ophiophagus hannah (king cobra)
Lineage: Eukaryota; Metazoa; Chordata; Lepidosauria; Squamata; Elapidae
Description: oha-miR-7-2-3p
Gene: oha-miR-7-2-3p
Source: miRBase by way of RNAcentral